GGGAUAUGGCGAAAUUGGU
This 19-nucleotide transfer RNA is filed under the name Yucca glauca. Its description in RNAcentral is "partial tRNA-Leu". The record is from RNAcentral. Lineage: Eukaryota; Viridiplantae; Streptophyta; Magnoliopsida; Asparagales; Asparagaceae.